UAUUUAUUAUUUUAUUUUUUUUAGUUUUUUUUUAUUUAGGCAAAGUAUUUCUUGACUGCAUAUGAAUUCACAGGACGAUUGAAAUCCUCCCCAUCCAUAGUUGUAAGUAUCAAAGCACCACCUGAAAAGGCUCUCUUAACAACAUACGAACCUUCAUAGUUUGGAGUCCACUUGCCCCGGGAAUCGGGCGCGAAAGACAAGACUUUCUUGAGCACAAGGUCACCUUCUCG
This 230-nucleotide long non-coding RNA is filed under the name Lathyrus oleraceus (garden pea). RNAcentral's name for it is "Pisum sativum (pea) long non-coding RNA (PSAT_LNC036165)". The record is from RNAcentral. Lineage: Eukaryota; Viridiplantae; Streptophyta; Magnoliopsida; Fabales; Fabaceae.